UUUCCCAAUGCCUUCUAACUGACGUCUCCCGCGAGCGACUGCUCUGCCCCCACUUGGAAAGUCCAGGGAGGCGCAAGGCGGCCACCUCCGCCGCUCGCCCCAGCAGCAGGAGCAGCCGCAGCUCUGCCGCACGCCGAAGUCUGGACUGCUCUCCGGGUCCCCUUGCCUAGAUGGAGUCUUGCUAUGUUGCCCAGGCUGGAGUUCACUGGCUAUUCACAGGUGCAAUUAUAGGGCAUGACAGCCGUGAACUCCUGGCCUCAAGUGAUCCUCUUGCCUCAGUCUCUGGAGUCUCCAAAAUAGGGGAAGGAUGGAAGAAAUAAAAUACAUAAUGGAAUGGUGGGAAGACUCUGGAUCAGGAAACAUGAAUUUAAGUCUCCAUUUGUCUAAGUUAUUUGCUCAGAAAUCCCUCAAUGUGCAAGCUGGACUAAUGUGGGAAGAAAAAUCAUGAAGUAUCCAUUUAGGAGUAUAUUCCAACAAUCAAGAUGAGAAGCAGCGAGAGCCUGGAUGAUCUUGCACUGUCUCUUAGCCUGGAGUACAGUGGUGUGACUGUAGCCUUGAAUUCAUGGGCUCAAGCAAUCCUCCCACCUCAGCCUCCCGAGUAACUGGGACUACAUGUGUGUGCCACCACAACCAGCUAUUUUUUUUUUUUAAAUAGAGAUGGGGGUCUCGCUAUGUUGCUUCAAGCUGGUCUCAGACUCCUGGCCUCAAGUGACCCUCCCACCUUGGUGCUUCCUUAUUUUUCUGUCAAGAAAAUAUUCUCAAAAUGCAGAGAGUAAAAUAGUUACUCAUUUUAAGAGAAAAUAAAAUCAAUUUUGAUGUCUUAUAUUAGCAGUGUCUAUGUAAAUGCAAAUUAAAUCCUAGGGCAGAAAAUAAUGCAUAUAUGCAUAUAGAUAUAUAAAGAUUUUGAUAUUUGGGAAAUGAAUGUAAAUAGUAGAGAUGACUUAAGGCUGGAAAACUGGCAAAUGUUCAAGUACUUUUCAAAAAAGGGAAAUGGGCAAAUCCUACAUAUUUCAUUUUGGUACGCUUAUAUCAAUUCAUGGAAAAACUCUAGGUCAGAUAAUUUGUGAGCUUUAAUAUAAGUUAAGUUUCACUAGUAGGAGCAUGAGUCUUUAAGAAAACUUUAUAUCCACGUAACACCAUUUUCUUUCUGGACAAUUGUUUGCCUAUAUUAACUCAAGGGAAUGCCAUAUAUAGAGGGUUAGUUUUUCCCUGGUAUAAGUAUGGACAAGAUGUUCAAAUGUGACCUAUAUAAUGAAGUAAAACAACUAUGAUCAGUGUUACUAGUAAAACAAAGUUAAUUCAGCCAAUGAAGUUGAAUCCUCAGUAGUUGCAGAAAUGGAUCCUUCUGACUCUGAAUGGUAAGUGCCUGUGUUUGGGGAUGGGAGGGAUGACACUGUGCCUUAGAAGUAUAUCGUUCUCCAGAAUGAUGAUUUUGGUUAAGAUCAUCAGAGGAAGAGAGGUCUCAAGAUGGUGUGGUACAUAUUAUCAUUAUUCUCAGUCUCACUGCUGUCCAGAACAAUUAAGAUAAAUGGGAAAUUCAGAAGAGGUGGGUGGAAUUUUUGGAUAUUAGUGAGGGACAAAAGAAUCCCUCCUCCACAGUUCUGCCUCUUUUCCAAAAUGAGAAUAUCUCAGACAUUGAAACUUGGAUUGAGCUAAUGUGGACCUGGAGGGCUAGGAAUAUUUGUUAAUACCUCUCAGGGUUGUUUCAGAAUGGAUUGUUUUGCUAGUGGAAUGCUGAAAUAGAUCAGAGGUCUUCUAAUUUUCAUAAGUACUAAAAAUAAUAUGUAUCAGCCUGAAAAAGCACAACUGAGAAAUUAAGCCUGAUUUCCUUUCCCACUUCCUUCUACAAUUGCCCUUCUCUUACUUCACAAAAAAGGGGCGCCCUUUUCUUCUGUCUUGUGUUGCAACCAUUGUUGAAUUGUCUUAGUGUAGAAACCCUACUCUCAGUAUUAAAUAAAAUGACAAUUACAAAUGUGA
Molecule: long non-coding RNA, 1977 nt
Organism: Pongo pygmaeus (Bornean orangutan)
Lineage: Eukaryota; Metazoa; Chordata; Mammalia; Primates; Hominidae
Exons: 5
Source: RefSeq, a predicted model, not a curated record